RNAcentral lists this ribosomal RNA (496 nucleotides) under uncultured bacterium. RNAcentral describes it as "partial 16S ribosomal RNA". It matches the Rfam family "Bacterial small subunit ribosomal RNA", at positions 28 to 507 of the family's 1533-position model. The record is from RNAcentral.
GAUGAACGCUGGCGGCGUGCCUAAUACAUGCAAGUCGAGCGAACGGACGAGAAGCUUGCUUCUCUGAUGUUAGCGGCGGACGGGUGAGUAACACGUGGAUAACCUACCUAUAAGACUGGGAUAACUUCGGGAAACCGGAGCUAAUACCGGAUAAUAUUUUGAACCGCAUGGUUCAAAAGUGAAAGACGGUCUUGCUGUCACUUAUAGAUGGAUCCGCGCUGCAUAGCUAGUUGGUAAGGUAACGGCUUACCAAGGCAACGAUGCAUAGCCGACCUGAGAGGGUGAUCGGCCACACUGGAACUGAGACACGGUCCAGACUCCUACGGGAGGCAGCAGUAGGGAAUCUUCCGCAAUGGGCGAAAGCCUGACGGAGCAACGCCGCGUGAGUGAUGAAGGUCUUCGGAUCGUAAAACUCUGUUAUUAGGGAAGAACAUAUGUGUAAGUAACUGUGCACAUCUUGACGGUACCUAAUCAGAAAGCCACGGCUAACUACGUG